Macaca mulatta (Rhesus monkey) is the source of this 117-nucleotide non-coding RNA. Lineage: Eukaryota; Metazoa; Chordata; Mammalia; Primates; Cercopithecidae. The record is from Rfam.
GCUAGGUGUGGUGGCUCACGCCUGUAAUCCCAGCACUUUGGGAGGCUGAGGUGGGCGGAUCACCUGAGGUCAGGAGUUCGAUAUCAGCUUGACCAACAUGGUGAAACCCCAUCUCUA